GACGAACGCNGGCGGCGUGCUUAACACAUGCAAGUCGAACGGAGCGAAUGAAAGCUUGCUUUUAUGAGCUUAGUGGCAAACGGGUGAGUAACACGUAGACAACCUGCCGACAGGAUGGGGACAACAUUCCGAAAGGAAUGCUAAUACCGAAUGAAGCGGAGGAGAGGCAUCUCUCUUCCGUGAAAGAUGGCCUCUUUUUAUGCUAUCACCUGUUGAUGGGUCUGCGUCUGAUUAGCUGGUAGGUGAGGUAACGGCUCACUUAGGCGACGAUCAGUAGCCGGUCUGAGAGGAUGAACGGCCACAUUGGGACUGAGACACGGCCCAGACUCCUACGGGAGGCAGCAGUGGGGAAUCUUCCGCAAUGGGCGCAAGCCUGACGGAGCAACGCCGCGUGAGUGAAGAAGGUCUUCGGAUCGUAAAGCUCUGUUGACGGGGACGAACGUGCGUGAUGCGAACAGUGUCAUGCAANGACGGNACC
RNAcentral lists this ribosomal RNA (478 nucleotides) under uncultured bacterium. Its description in RNAcentral is "bacterial SSU rRNA". It matches the Rfam family "Bacterial small subunit ribosomal RNA", at positions 28 to 479 of the family's 1533-position model. The record is from RNAcentral.